GUCAUUCGCCCUCUAGAGACAACGCUUUACACCGAGGACUGGAUCGGUUUAAAAACCUUAGACGACGCCGGAAAGGUCCACUACAUUAAUGUCUCGGGAGGUCAUCUCGGAAUCUCCAACGACGACAUGAAAAAGCAUGUUGUACCUUCUUGAAGGAUCAAGAUUCAA
Long non-coding RNA from Hibiscus syriacus, 168 nucleotides. RefSeq lists it as uncharacterized. NCBI's taxonomy places the organism in Eukaryota, Viridiplantae, Streptophyta, Magnoliopsida, Malvales, Malvaceae. The transcript is spliced from 3 exons. The record is from RefSeq and is a predicted model, not a curated record.